UCCCUGGUGGCUUAGACGGUAAAGCGUCUGCCUACAAUGCGGGAAACCCGGGUUCAAUCCCUGGGUUGGGAA
Molecule: transfer RNA, 72 nt
Filed under: Ovis aries (sheep)
Lineage: Eukaryota; Metazoa; Chordata; Mammalia; Artiodactyla; Bovidae
Rfam family: tRNA
About the family: Transfer RNA (tRNA) molecules are approximately 80 nucleotides in length. Their secondary structure includes four short double-helical elements and three loops (D, anti-codon, and T loops). Further hydrogen bonds mediate the characteristic L-shaped molecular structure. tRNAs have two regions of fundamental functional importance: the anti-codon, which is responsible for specific mRNA codon recognition, and the 3' end, to which the tRNAs corresponding amino acid is attached (by aminoacyl-tRNA synthetases). tRNAs cope with the degeneracy of the genetic code in two manners: having more than one tRNA (with a specific anti-codon) for a particular amino acid; and 'wobble' base-pairing, i.e. permitting non-standard base-pairing at the 3rd anti-codon position.
Source: Rfam by way of RNAcentral